This is a non-coding RNA of Angiostrongylus cantonensis (rat lungworm), 73 nucleotides long. Lineage: Eukaryota; Metazoa; Nematoda; Chromadorea; Rhabditida; Metastrongylidae. The record is from Rfam.
GUUUCCGUAGCGCAGUCAGUAGCGCAUCAAUCUCAUAAUCUGAAGGUCGUGAGUUCGAGCCUCACCAUUAGCA